Molecule: ribosomal RNA, 1089 nt
Filed under: Penicillium sp.
Lineage: Eukaryota; Fungi; Ascomycota; Eurotiomycetes; Eurotiales; Aspergillaceae
Description: SSU rRNA
Rfam family: Eukaryotic small subunit ribosomal RNA
Source: RNAcentral
CAUGUCUAAGUAUAAGCAACUUGUACUGUGAAACUGCGAAUGGCUCAUUAAAUCAGUUAUCGUUUAUUUGAUAGUACCUUACUACAUGGAUACCUGUGGUAAUUCUAGAGCUAAUACAUGCUAAAAACCCCGACUUCAGGAAGGGGUGUAUUUAUUAGAUAAAAAACCAACGCCCUUCGGGGCUCCUUGGUGAAUCAUAAUAACUUAACGAAUCGCAUGGCCUUGCGCCGGCGAUGGUUCAUUCAAAUUUCUGCCCUAUCAACUUUCGAUGGUAGGAUAGUGGCCUACCAUGGUGGCAACGGGUAACGGGGAAUUAGGGUUCGAUUCCGGAGAGGGAGCCUGAGAAACGGCUACCACAUCCAAGGAAGGCAGCAGGCGCGCAAAUUACCCAAUCCCGAUACGGGGAGGUAGUGACAAUAAAUACUGAUACGGGGCUCUUUUGGGUCUCGUAAUUGGAAUGAGAACAAUUUAAAUCCCUUAACGAGGAACAAUUGGAGGGCAAGUCUGGUGCCAGCAGCCGCGGUAAUUCCAGCUCCAAUAGCGUAUAUUAAAGUUGUUGCAGUUAAAAAGCUCGUAGUUGAACCUUGGGUCUGGCUGGUCGGUCCGCCUCACCGCGAGUACUGAUCCGGCUGGACCUUUCCUUCUGGGGAACCUCAUGGCCUUCACUGGCUGUGGGGGGAACCAGGACUUUUACUGUGAAAAAAUUAGAGUGUUCAAAGCAGGCCUUUGCUCGAAUACAUUAGCAUGGAAUAAUAGAAUAGGACGUGUGGUUCUAUUUUGUUGGUUUCUAGGACCGCCGUAAUGAUUAAUAGGGAUAGUCGGGGGCGUCAGUAUUCAGCUGUCAGAGGUGAAAUUCUUGGAUUUGCUGAAGACUAACUACUGCGAAAGCAUUCGCCAAGGAUGUUUUCAUUAAUCAGGGAACGAAAGUUAGGGGAUCGAAGACGAUCAGAUACCGUCGUAGUCUUAACCAUAAACUAUGCCGACUAGGGAUCGGACAGGAUUCUAUAAUGACCUGUUCGGCACCUUACGAGAAAUCAAAGUUUUUGGGUUCUGGGGGGAGUAUGGUCGCAAGGCUGAAACUUAAAGAAA